This 262-nucleotide ribosomal RNA is filed under the name uncultured bacterium. RNAcentral describes it as "partial 16S ribosomal RNA". It matches the Rfam family "Bacterial small subunit ribosomal RNA", at positions 93 to 353 of the family's 1533-position model. The record is from RNAcentral.
GAGCGGCGGACGGGUGAGUAACGCGUGGGUAACCUGCCCUGUACACACGGAUAACAUACCGAAAGGUAUGCUAAUACGAGAUAAUAUACUUUUAUCGCAUGGUAGAAGUAUCAAAGCUUUUGCGGUACAGGAUGGACCCGCGUCUGAUUAGCUAGUUGGUAAGGUAACGGCCCACCAAGGCGACGAUCAGUAGCCGGCCUGAGAGGGUGAACGGCCACAUUGGGACUGAGACACGGCCCAAACUCCUACGGGAGGCAGCAUG